AUGCCCAGUGAUUAUAAAAAGACGCGUUAUUCUGAGGAACACAACCUGCUACCAGUCUGUCUUCUACCACGCCCUCUGUCUUUGAUCUCCAUCGCUCUCCUCCUCCUCCCCCCCUCCUCUCUGGUAGCUGGUCCACUGACUGCGAUUAUGAGAUAUGAGGGCAU
Molecule: small nucleolar RNA, 164 nt
Organism: Gasterosteus aculeatus aculeatus (three-spined stickleback)
Lineage: Eukaryota; Metazoa; Chordata; Actinopteri; Perciformes; Gasterosteidae
Gene: SNORD97
Product: Small nucleolar RNA SNORD97
Source: Ensembl